RNAcentral lists this ribosomal RNA (488 nucleotides) under Pseudomonas sp. CL1.60. RNAcentral's name for it is "bacterial SSU rRNA". It matches the Rfam family "Bacterial small subunit ribosomal RNA", at positions 17 to 500 of the family's 1533-position model. Lineage: Bacteria; Pseudomonadati; Pseudomonadota; Gammaproteobacteria; Pseudomonadales; Pseudomonadaceae. The record is from RNAcentral.
CCCUGGCUCAGAUUGAACGCUGGCGGCAGGCCUAACACAUGCAAGUCGAGCGGUAGAGAGAAGCUUGCUUCUCUUGAGAGCGGCGGACGGGUGAGUAAUGCCUAGGAAUCUGCCUGGUAGUGGGGGAUAACGCUCGGAAACGGACGCUAAUACCGCAUACGUCCUACGGGAGAAAGCAGGGGACCUUCGGGCCUUGCGCUAUCAGAUGAGCCUAGGUCGGAUUAGCUAGUUGGUGAGGUAAUGGCUCACCAAGGCGACGAUCCGUAACUGGUCUGAGAGGAUGAUCAGUCACACUGGAACUGAGACACGGUCCAGACUCCUACGGGAGGCAGCAGUGGGGAAUAUUGGACAAUGGGCGAAAGCCUGAUCCAGCCAUGCCGCGUGUGUGAAGAAGGUCUUCGGAUUGUAAAGCACUUUAAGUUGGGAGGAAGGGCAGUAAAUUAAUACUUUGCUGUUUUGACGUUACCGACAGAAUAAGCACCGGCUAA